UACGGAGGGUGCAAACGUUGCUCGGAAUCAUUGGGCGUAAAGCGAGCGUAGGCGGCUUUGUAAGUCGGGUGUGAAAGCCCUCGGCUCAACUGGGGAGGGUCACGCGAUACUGAUCGACUCGAAGGCAGGAGAGGGUAGUGGAAUUCCCGGUGUAGUGGUGAAAUGCGUAGAUAUCGGGAGGAACACCAGUGGCGAAGGCGACUACCUGGCCUGUUCUUGACGCUGAGGCGCGAAAGCUAGGGGAGCAAACGGG
This 253-nucleotide ribosomal RNA is filed under the name uncultured bacterium. RNAcentral's name for it is "partial 16S ribosomal RNA". It matches the Rfam family "Bacterial small subunit ribosomal RNA", at positions 524 to 776 of the family's 1533-position model. The record is from RNAcentral.